Non-coding RNA from Acanthosepion pharaonis, 111 nucleotides. NCBI's taxonomy places the organism in Eukaryota, Metazoa, Mollusca, Cephalopoda, Sepiida, Sepiidae. The record is from the annotation of a GenBank genome assembly.
CAGCCACGCCACGUUGAAACACCGGUUCCCGUACGAUCACAGAAGUUAAGCAACAUCGUGCCUGGUCAGUACAUACAUAGAUGACCGCUUGGGAAUACCAGGUACUGCAAG